This 253-nucleotide ribosomal RNA is filed under the name uncultured bacterium. Its description in RNAcentral is "partial 16S ribosomal RNA". It matches the Rfam family "Bacterial small subunit ribosomal RNA", at positions 524 to 776 of the family's 1533-position model. The record is from RNAcentral.
UACGGAGGGUCCAAGCGUUAUCCGGAAUCAUUGGGUUUAAAGGGUCCGUAGGCGGAAUAAUAAGUCAGUGGUGAAAGUCUGCAGCUUAACUGUAGAAUUGCCAUUGAUACUGUUGUUCUUGAAUUAUUAUGAAGUGGUUGGAAUGAGUAGUGUAGCGGUGAAAUGCAUAGAUAUUACUCAGAACACCUAUUGCGAAGGCAGAUCACUAAUAAUAUAUUGACGCUGAGGGACGAAAGCGUAGGUAGCGAACAGG